UGUCCGGGGAUGGGAAUCGAACCCACAGUGUUCGGCUUACCGGGCAGAUGCCAUGUCCACUAGGCUACCCUGGAC
This 75-nucleotide transfer RNA is filed under the name Cordylochernes scorpioides. RNAcentral describes it as "tRNA-Thr". Lineage: Eukaryota; Metazoa; Arthropoda; Arachnida; Pseudoscorpiones; Chernetidae. The record is from RNAcentral.